This 1552-nucleotide ribosomal RNA is filed under the name Cutibacterium sp. RNAcentral describes it as "bacterial SSU rRNA". It matches the Rfam family "Bacterial small subunit ribosomal RNA". The record is from RNAcentral. Lineage: Bacteria; Bacillati; Actinomycetota; Actinomycetes; Propionibacteriales; Propionibacteriaceae.
CUACCGUGACCAGGUAGAAAGAAGCAGAAUCGGAAGAGUUUGAUCAUGGCUCAGGACGAACGCUGGCGGCGUGCUUAACACAUGCAAGUCGAACGGAAAGGCCCUGCUUUUGUGGGGUGCUCGAGUGGCGAACGGGUGAGUAACACGUGAGUAACCUGCCCUUGACUUUGGGAUAACUUCAGGAAACUGGGGCUAAUACCGGAUAGGAGCUCCUGCUGCAUGGUGGGGGUUGGAAAGUUUCGGCGGUUGGGGAUGGACUCGCGGCUUAUCAGCUUGUUGGUGGGGUAGUGGCUUACCAAGGCUUUGACGGGUAGCCGGCCUGAGAGGGUGACCGGCCACAUUGGGACUGAGAUACGGCCCAGACUCCUACGGGAGGCAGCAGUGGGGAAUAUUGCACAAUGGGCGGAAGCCUGAUGCAGCAACGCCGCGUGCGGGAUGACGGCCUUCGGGUUGUAAACCGCUUUCGCCUGUGACGAAGCGUGAGUGACGGUAAUGGGUAAAGAAGCACCGGCUAACUACGUGCCAGCAGCCGCGGUGAUACGUAGGGUGCGAGCGUUGUCCGGAUUUAUUGGGCGUAAAGGGCUCGUAGGUGGUUGAUCGCGUCGGAAGUGUAAUCUUGGGGCUUAACCCUGAGCGUGCUUUCGAUACGGGUUGACUUGAGGAAGGUAGGGGAGAAUGGAAUUCCUGGUGGAGCGGUGGAAUGCGCAGAUAUCAGGAGGAACACCAGUGGCGAAGGCGGUUCUCUGGGCCUUUCCUGACGCUGAGGAGCGAAAGCGUGGGGAGCGAACAGGCUUAGAUACCCUGGUAGUCCACGCUGUAAACGGUGGGUACUAGGUGUGGGGUCCAUUCCACGGGUUCCGUGCCGUAGCUAACGCUUUAAGUACCCCGCCUGGGGAGUACGGCCGCAAGGCUAAAACUCAAAGGAAUUGACGGGGCCCCGCACAAGCGGCGGAGCAUGCGGAUUAAUUCGAUGCAACGCGUAGAACCUUACCUGGGUUUGACAUGGAUCGGGAGUGCUCAGAGAUGGGUGUGCCUCUUUUGGGGUCGGUUCACAGGUGGUGCAUGGCUGUCGUCAGCUCGUGUCGUGAGAUGUUGGGUUAAGUCCCGCAACGAGCGCAACCCUUGUUCACUGUUGCCAGCACGUUAUGGUGGGGACUCAGUGGAGACCGCCGGGGUCAACUCGGAGGAAGGUGGGGAUGACGUCAAGUCAUCAUGCCCCUUAUGUCCAGGGCUUCACGCAUGCUACAAUGGCUGGUACAGAGAGUGGCGAGCCUGUGAGGGUGAGCGAAUCUCGGAAAGCCGGUCUCAGUUCGGAUUGGGGUCUGCAACUCGACCUCAUGAAGUCGGAGUCGCUAGUAAUCGCAGAUCAGCAACGCUGCGGUGAAUACGUUCCCGGGGCUUGUACACACCGCCCGUCAAGUCAUGAAAGUUGGUAACACCCGAAGCCGGUGGCCUAACCGUUGUGGGGGAGCCGUCGAAGGUGGGACUGGUGAUUAGGACUAAGUCGUAACAAGGUAACCGUCCGAUUCUGCUUCUUUCUACCUGGUCACGG